RNAcentral lists this ribosomal RNA (500 nucleotides) under uncultured bacterium. Its description in RNAcentral is "partial 16S ribosomal RNA". It matches the Rfam family "Bacterial small subunit ribosomal RNA", at positions 30 to 523 of the family's 1533-position model. The record is from RNAcentral.
AUUGAACGCUGGCGGCAUGCCUUACACAUGCAAGUCGAACGGCAGCACGGGAGCAAUCCUGGUGGCGAGUGGCGAACGGGUGAGUAAAGUAUCGGAACGUGCCCAGUCGUGGGGGAUCACGUAGCGAAAGUUACGCUAAUACCGCAUACGAUCUAUGGAUGAAAGCGGGGGAUCGCAAGACCUCGCGCGAUUGGAGCGGCCGAUAUCCGAUUAGGUAGUUGGUGGGGUAAAGGCUCACCAAGCCGACGAUCUGUAGCUGGUCUGAGAGGACGACCAGCCACACUGGGACUGAGACACGGCCCAGACUCCUACGGGAGGCAGCAGUGGGGAAUUUUGGACAACGGGCGCAAGCCUGAUCCAGCCAUGCCGCGCGCAGGAUGAAGGCCUUCGGGUUGUAAACUGCUUUUGUACGGAACGAAAAGGUUUGACUUAAUACGUUGGACUCAUGACGGUACCGUAAGAAUAAGCACCGGCUAACUACGUGCCAGCAGCCGCCGUAA